Molecule: long non-coding RNA, 1985 nt
Organism: Drosophila innubila
Lineage: Eukaryota; Metazoa; Arthropoda; Insecta; Diptera; Drosophilidae
Exons: 3
Source: RefSeq, a predicted model, not a curated record
GGGAGACAAAUGGAGUUCUCGACGCAUCGACGAGUCACUGCUCAGCGUAUAAAUAGAGCUCACAGUGCGACAAGCAACCAUUCGCAAAAAAUAAGUGUUCAAGUGAAAUUCGUCGUGAAACUAGAAAAAAUUCAAAAAAAAAAAAAAAGUAAAAUAUAAAGUCAACUGUUCCGGAUCGCAGUGUUUUUAUAUAUAUAGAGAUACAUAUAUAUUGUAUAUACGUGUACACAUUAGUCAUCAGAAAUGAAAAAGUGUAAAGAAGCUGCUGUAAAGGCGAAUCUGCGAAGUUACAACAUGGCACGAAGGCUAAAAUAAUUGCUAGUACACAACAUUUCACCAUUUUGGCUCUGAACAAAGAAAACACGUCGUCACCAUCACAAUGGGCUCUCAGGCAAUUUUCGCAAUGAGGAAAUGGGGGCAACACAAAACCGCUUGGCAGUGCGGAAACAGAGUUGUUCGUCUCGUCUUUGUCUAGAAAGUUGGUCAUUAGGCAGGCUGUACUGUAAGACAGAUGCCAGGGACCAGAUGUUUCAUUUGCCAGGCUUCUUAAGGCUUAGGCAGGCAACGAAGGAGCUCUAGUAUCCACAGCCAUUAACGGUUUGAGGAGUUAACAAGGGAAGCCAGGUGUAGACGCCAUUCUCUUGUUGUUAUACUUGGGCGUUGAAAGUUGAUACGCGAUCGAUCGAUGUUUAACUCGAACCCUUAGCGGGCAAAAGGGCAAUUACAAUUGCUGAAAAUGCAGUUGGCUCAUUUGCCCUGUGGGGUGUUUUCGAGAGUGUUCGAGAAUUUGGCCUACACGGGGCUACAUCGUUUUUAUCUAAGAUUGAUUGCGUGGAUUGAAUUAUAGGAACCUAUAUCGACUUCUCUGCUCUACUAUGACCUGUUUGAAAAGGCGUCCAGUUAUUUACGGCCUUCUGUUUAUUUGCCGAUCAUCAUCAAUGAACCGAUAUCACUACCGAAUAAACAGAAUGUUGUACACAUUACUGACAUCGAUCGUUUAAAGCAAUUGAAAUAUCGUAUCUGGAGUAGCAACUGAACGAACCGAAUGCUAGUUCGUUAGACGCGCCACAAGCAACAAUAUGUUAUUCUUUUUAUUUUCUUUGUUUUAAUCAUAAACAUGAAAAGUACACAAAAUGUGUCACUUAAGUUCCUAACACCUGAAAUUUAAUGAUUUUUCUGUUUUUGUACACAUCAAGAUUUAAGAAAACUUUUGUCCUAUAUCGUUGUAAAUAUACUUUUGUCCAUACCAAAAAUAGAAAAAAAUAAUGGAAAAAAAAGAGAAAAAAGAGCUCACACACAGAAAAGAAGCACAAAACAAAAGAAUAAAAGUUGAAAACAAUUCUAAUAAAUUUCGAAACACUUGUUCGUCAUAUUUUUAUUUUAAGCUUAAAUUCUAUACAAAUUUCAGUCAAAUCAUCAUUUUACAAACGGAGGAAGGUCUAAAUCUGGUUAAAUCACGUAAAUAUGCACGUUUAGUAUGAAAUGAAUGACAACUUUUACUCUUUAAUGACCUUAAAGAUAUAAAAUCUACAUAAAAAUCAACUUUUAUAAGUGAGUAAUUCAAACUAUGGUAAACUUGUAAAGGAAACUCUACUGAUUCACUCAAAUGCAAAUAGAAAGAUAAUAAUGAUACAAUUCAAAAAAAAUCGAAUACAAAAAUUCAAAAAUAAGGAUUUUAAUCUAUAUAUAAAUAUUAAAUAAGAAUCUGCGUCUCUUUAAAUUAAAAAUUUAAUACCCAUUAAAAGCUACGAAACUGGUCGAUGGCUAUAAAUAGUAAGAAUUUCUACUUUGGGACAGGGAUUACACCGAAUCUUUAAUUUCAUUUGUGCAUGAAACAAUAAUGUGUAAUAUGUGUAAAAAACUAAUAGAUUCCACUUCAGGUAGGGAUAAUACGAAUAAUUCAACAAACCAAUACAGACAUUUUCCACUUCAGGUAGGGAAUAAAAUAAAAACAUCCUUAUCUUGAAUGAUAUUGUCUACACAUA